This is a long non-coding RNA of Drosophila willistoni, 794 nucleotides long. RefSeq lists it as uncharacterized. The record is from RefSeq and is a predicted model, not a curated record. NCBI's taxonomy places the organism in Eukaryota, Metazoa, Arthropoda, Insecta, Diptera, Drosophilidae. The transcript is spliced from 4 exons.
UUAUAAAUACAAUACAAGUAGAUUUUACUGAAAACCAAUUCUUUCAUUAGAAAUUUAAAGUAAAAUGGUUAGCAAUUUUCUGUAAAACAGACUAUACCCAUCCAAUAGUGAAUAUACCCACGACUGUUCGUUUGGAUCAACGCGAACUCCUCCUUCGGCAUUUGGGACUCUUGGAUUCUUAGGCAUUGCAUAUAGAAUAUAUUUUCGACCUUUGAUAAAGACAAUGAUCGAUUGGAUGACGAGAUCGGUGCCUCGAGGCACAAGAGGUGUGCCAUCUGACACGGCGAUCUUCGUACCGCCUUAGCGUUGCAAUGAUGCGUAUCUUAGGUAUGAGUACCUAUUCAAUUUGAACGAAUCCUCCAUAUAAAAAUGAAUCCAUAAUUCCCUGGUCUCGCUAUACCUGAAAAUGACUUUACUAAUCUAUAUAUAUCUGGGAUGGACCGCAAAAGGACGGUCUAGUUUAUCGGUGAAAAAUACUUGUGGAUAACCUGUAACUGGUUGUCCUCGUUUUCGUCGUUGGAAUUUUUUUGAUGAUUGAUUCCAGAGUAAUGGCGAAAACGGAGAAAUGGUAUUUAAUAUUCCACAUGGACCAUGUAUCAUAUUUUUUGUAAUAACCUCAUGUAACAGUGGGUCUUCAUUAUAAUCGGGAAUUUCUGUUGAUAUCACAUAAUCAAUAUCAUUCGGUCUUAUCCUUUCAACCAACCAAAUGAGGAUAUGUGCAUGUGGUAAUCCGCGUUUUUGCUACUCAACUGAGUACAUCCAACAGCGCGUCUCGCCGAACACGCGAUGCUUAA